RNAcentral lists this ribosomal RNA (497 nucleotides) under uncultured bacterium. Its description in RNAcentral is "partial 16S ribosomal RNA". It matches the Rfam family "Bacterial small subunit ribosomal RNA", at positions 28 to 507 of the family's 1533-position model. The record is from RNAcentral.
GAUGAACGCUGGCGGCGUGCCUAAUACAUGCAAGUCGAGCGAACAGACGAGGAGCUUGCUCCUCUGACGUUAGCGGCGGACGGGUGAGUAACACGUGGAUAACCUACCUAUAAGACUGGGAUAACUUCGGGAAACCGGAGCUAAUACCGGAGAAUAUAUUGAACCGCAGGGUUCAAUAGUGAAAGACGGUUUUGCUGUCACUUAUAGAUGGAUCCGCGCCGCAUUAGCUAGUUGGUAAGGUAACGGCUUACCAAGGCAACGAUGCGUAGCCGACCUGAGAGGGUGAUCGGCCACACUGGAACUGAGACACGGUCCAGACUCCUACGGGAGGCAGCAGUAGGGAAUCUUCCGCAGUGGGCGCAAGCCUGACGGAGCAACGCCGCGUGAGUGAUGAAGGUCUUCGGAUCGUAAAACUCUGUUAUUAGGGAAGAACAACUGUGUAAGUAACUAUGCACGUCUUGACGGUACCUAAUCAGAAAGCCCCGGCUAACUACGUG